This 21-nucleotide microRNA is filed under the name Fragaria vesca subsp. vesca. RNAcentral describes it as "fve-miR11298". Lineage: Eukaryota; Viridiplantae; Streptophyta; Magnoliopsida; Rosales; Rosaceae. The record is from miRBase by way of RNAcentral.
UUGAGGGGCUUAACGAUUACC